GAUGAACGCUGGCGGCGCGCCUAACACAUGCAAGUCGAACGGCACCCCUCCUCGGAGGGAAGCGAGUGGCGAACGGCUGAGUAACACGUGGAGAACCUGCCCCCUCCCCCGGGAUAGCCGCCCGAAAGGACGGGUAAUACCGGAUACCCCGGGGUGCCGCAUGGCACCCCGGCUAAAGCCCCGACGGGAGGGGAUGGCUCCGCGGCCCAUCAGGUAGACGGCGGGGUGACGGCCCACCGUGCCGACAACGGGUAGCCGGGUUGAGAGACCGACCGGCCAGAUUGGGACUGAGACACGGCCCAGACUCCUACGGGAGGCAGCAGUGGGGAAUCUUGCGCAAUGGGGGGAACACUGACGCAGCGACGCCGCGUGCGGGACGGAGGCCUUCGGGUCGUAAACCGCUUUCAGCAGGGAAGAGUCAAGACUGUACCUGCAGAAGAAGCCCCGGCUAACUACGUG
Molecule: ribosomal RNA, 459 nt
Filed under: uncultured bacterium
Lineage: Bacteria
Description: partial 16S ribosomal RNA
Rfam family: Bacterial small subunit ribosomal RNA
Source: RNAcentral